UUUCUAAGCUCAGCGGUAGAACACUUGUCUGGCAUGCAUGAAGGCCUGAAUUCAAUCCCUAACACUGUAAAAAAAAAAAAAAAAGUCUGCAACAAAUCAACAGUGAGGAGGUUCCUGUGCUUCAAGUAAACAGAGAAAAAGUGUAAAGGAUAUGAAGUAUGUUACCAGAAGACCAGACGCUGUUAAUGGGCCCACACGGCCACGAACACACCAGCCGGUGGGGAAUUUUAUAGCAUCCAUCAUGGGAUACCGGGGUCCUUAUUAAAGAAGAAAGCUUUUAUGGCAUUUUCCAGAGCACCAUAUUUUCCUGACCCAGCCUGCAAGGAAAGUGCUAAGAGCCCCAAACUAUCUUUUCAACCAUUAACUGCCAUUUCUGGACUGGGGACCGGC
This is a long non-coding RNA of Fukomys damarensis (Damara mole-rat), 390 nucleotides long. The record is from Ensembl. NCBI's taxonomy places the organism in Eukaryota, Metazoa, Chordata, Mammalia, Rodentia, Bathyergidae.